RNAcentral lists this ribosomal RNA (538 nucleotides) under uncultured bacterium. Its description in RNAcentral is "bacterial SSU rRNA". It matches the Rfam family "Bacterial small subunit ribosomal RNA", at positions 345 to 879 of the family's 1533-position model. The record is from RNAcentral.
GAGGCAGCGGUGGGGAAUAUUGGACAAUGGGCGGAAGCCUGAUCCAGCAACGCCGCGUGAGGGAUGACGGCCUUCGGGUUGUAAACCUCUUUCACCAUUGACGAAGCUGCAUUCUUUUGGGUGUGGUGACGGUAGGUGGGGAAGAAGCACCGGCCAACUACGUGCCAGCAGCCGCGGUAAUACGUAGGGUGCGAGCGUUGUCCGGAAUUAUUGGGCGUAAAGGGCUCGUAGGCGGUUUGUCGCGUCGGGAGUGAAAUCAUCUGGCUUAACUGGGUGCUUGCUUUCGAUACGGGCAGACUAGAGGUAUGCAGGGGAGAACGGAAUUCCUGGUGUAGCGGUGAAAUGCGCAGAUAUCAGGAGGAACACCGGUGGCGAAGGCGGUUCUCUGGGCAUGAUCUGACGCUGAGGAGCGAAAGUGUGGGGAGCGAACAGGAUUAGAUACCCUGGUAGUCCACACCGUAAACGUUGGGCGCUAGGUGUGGGAUCCAUUCCACGGGUUCCGUGCCGCAGCUAACGCAUUAAGCGCCCCGCCUGGGGA